CUAAGGAAAGCUCAUUGUGAGACUGGCUCUUGUGGCUGUGAUUCUGCACCAAGGCUGAAUUUUAGGAAAGAGACUUCAGAUACAGUAUUUGGGGUCCACUAAGGUCCAUAUAAAAGCAUCCCAAGAGCAGCAUGUCAUGAGACCUUUCACGCAGAGAUAUUUCACAGGGGGUCCUCAGAAUUACUUCAGGGGG
Molecule: long non-coding RNA, 193 nt
Organism: Etheostoma cragini (Arkansas darter)
Lineage: Eukaryota; Metazoa; Chordata; Actinopteri; Perciformes; Percidae
Exons: 3
Source: RefSeq, a predicted model, not a curated record